This 480-nucleotide ribosomal RNA is filed under the name uncultured bacterium. RNAcentral describes it as "partial 16S ribosomal RNA". It matches the Rfam family "Bacterial small subunit ribosomal RNA", at positions 28 to 523 of the family's 1533-position model. The record is from RNAcentral.
GACGAACGCUGGCGGCGUGCUUAACACAUGCAAGUCGAACGAUGAAGUUCCUUCGGGAAUGGAUUAGUGGCGAACGGGUGAGGAACACGUGAGAAACCUGCCUUUCAUUUUGGGAUAACUCCGGGAAACCGGGGCUAAAACCGAAUACUCCGUCUCGGCGGCAUCGCUGAGCCGGGAAAAAAUUUUGACGAAAGAUGGUCUCGCGGCCUAUCAGCUAGUUGGCGAGGUAAUGGCUCACCAAGGCAACGACGGGUAGCCGGCCUGAGAGGGCGACCGGCCACACUGGGACUGAGACACGGCCCAGACUCCUACGGGAGGCAGCAGUGGGGAAUAUUGGGCAAUGGGCGCAAGCCUGACCCAGCGACGCCGCGUGAGGGAUGAAGGCCUUCGGGUUGUAAACCUCUUUCAGUAGGGAAGAAGCGAAAGUGACGGUACCUAAAGAAGAAGCACCGGCUAACUAUGUGCCAGCCGCCGCGGUAA